This is a long non-coding RNA of Salvia miltiorrhiza (redroot sage), 1457 nucleotides long. RefSeq lists it as uncharacterized. The transcript is spliced from 2 exons. NCBI's taxonomy places the organism in Eukaryota, Viridiplantae, Streptophyta, Magnoliopsida, Lamiales, Lamiaceae. The record is from RefSeq and is a predicted model, not a curated record.
GAAAGCCAAAAAAGAAAAGCUGCCCACCAUUAAGGGGUCUACGCUCUACAUAGAAAUCCACUCAGCUAAACUAGAUCCUAUGCACUUUAAUUUGCUUUCACAACUAAUUUUAUUAAAUUACGUUGCUUUUUCAUAUUUUACUCGAUAUAAUUUGAUGCCAUUUUUCAUUUUUUGUGGGAUAAAUAAUUUUGAAUCAGUAUAUUAUAUAUACCUCCAUACACAUUCAUGAAGUGAAUCUUUUGAUAUGAUUUCAAAUUAUUUUGUGAUGUCACGUUUGUGUAUAGUUUUGUCCAUUUGAUGUAGAAUUGAGUGUGUUGGAGUAGUAGUGUACAUAAACUACGCCCAAGGAUCAAGAAUGGAGAGAAACGGGCGUGAGAAACGAAGGAAGAAAUGAAGAAAGAACAAAAGAAGAGAGAAAACGGCGGCCGCCUAUUUUGUGAUAGACGCAUGAACAAUUUCGGAGAUUGCCGAAGCGAUUGCCAAUUAUUUUGGAAUUUAUGUGAGAAACGGAUGAUAGCCUAUUUUCUUAGACUUUUUAGUGUAAUUUCAGCGGCCUACUGGUAUGGUUGCCAAUUUCAACCGUGUUUGACCUAAUUUCAUGUUAAAUUCAUAGUAUAUAUUCGAGUCUGAGGGUUCCAGAUCAUAUUCCUAGUUUGAGACUUAAUUGUUUUCUUAGUUUUAAAGCUGAGAUUUGGUUUUCCACAAAGAAUUGAAGAUUCAAGAUUGUUACACUAAAUUCAUUUCAGGGUCAUAUUGGGGAGAGAGCGAGGUUUGAAGGGAUGAGAGGUCCAGUUCAGGGCAGAUAAGAGAAAGAUGGUCAGAAUGAGCAUUACCAGCUCAAACUGCAAGUUGUCAUGUUUAUAGGGAUGGAGCAGAGACGAAGUACCGCUCAGAAUACAUCUGAGGAGUGGGAACCACCGAAGUGUACCACCUUGUAUGAGGCGAACCAGAAGAAGCAGUCAGUACGACCAUUACCGGAAUGAGCAGCAGCAGCCGAAGCUCAAUAAGGAAACCCGUGUCCAGAAGAUAUCAUGAAGAUUGUAGGCGAAUGAAGUAUGGCAAGUGAAGGAUCCAGAAGGUGGUAGAAGUUGACUCCAUCGGCAGCUGGAAGAUCAUAUCCAAUCAGAUCAAUCAGUGAUUGGGCUAAACAUGGAAAGAAGAUCAAUCUGUAGAUAUGGUUGCCGGAGUUUGACUGCUACCGUGAUGAUAUUUAAGGGCCAGCAUAUGUGGCUGGCGGAGGACUUUUGACACCCCCAUCUUUAUUCACCAUUAUCACUGUGCACCAAGAAACAAUUUACUUUAGUUUGUUUUACUUUCGCAAGAACAAUUUAUGCUUUCUAGUAUUUCAAUUCGGUUGCAAGAAACAAGCCAAGACAUUUUGCGUUAGGUACUUUUCUAUUAAAGUUAUUUACAUUUUGCUAUUUCAUGUUUUUAUAUCAUUUCACAUUUAUGUCUUU